RNAcentral lists this ribosomal RNA (496 nucleotides) under uncultured bacterium. RNAcentral's name for it is "partial 16S ribosomal RNA". It matches the Rfam family "Bacterial small subunit ribosomal RNA", at positions 28 to 507 of the family's 1533-position model. The record is from RNAcentral.
GAUGAACGCUGGCGGCGUGCCUAAUACAUGCAAGUCGAGCGAACGGACGAGAAGCUUGCUUUUCUGAUGUUAGCGGCGGACGGGUGAGUAACACGUGGAUAACCUACCUAUAAGACUGGGAUAACUUCGGGAAACCGGAGCUAAUACCGGAUAAUAUUUUGACCGCAUGGUUCAAAAGUGAAAGACGGUCUUGCUGUCACUUACAGAUGGAUCCGCGCUGCAUUAGCUAGUUGGUAAGGUAACGGCUUACCAAGGCAACGAUGCAUAGCCGACCUGAGAGGGUGAUCGGCCACACUGGAACUGAGACACGGUCCAGACUCCUACGGGAGGCAGCAGUAGGGAAUCUUCCGCAAUGGGCGAAAGCCUGACGGAGCAACGCCGCGUGAGUGAUGAAGGUCUUCGGAUCGUAAAACUCUGUUAUUAGGGAAGAACAUAUGUGUAAGUAACUGUGCACAUCUUGACGGUACCUAAUCAGAAAGCCACGGCUAACUACGUG